Acanthochromis polyacanthus (spiny chromis) is the source of this 4184-nucleotide long non-coding RNA. RefSeq lists it as uncharacterized. NCBI's taxonomy places the organism in Eukaryota, Metazoa, Chordata, Actinopteri, Pomacentridae. The record is from RefSeq and is a predicted model, not a curated record. The transcript has 3 exons.
UCCAACCACCCAGAUCUGACGACACCAGGAGACGCACACAAAAAAACACCGUGAGCAGCAGGAUGAGAGUUAAAAAGCAGGAAAAACACUGUUUGUCAUCAUGUCUGCAUAAAUACAACCGUUACACACCUCUAGUAGGUCAAUUUAAUCAGAUCUGUGACAUUUUAUUCACCUAAAGUCACAAAAAUGCCUUUUUAUCUGUCCUGCAGCAGGUUCUAAAGCUACCUGCAUAAAUCUAGACUACUCAUGACUCCAUGGCCUCCUAUUGGCUGCAGGUGUGGCUUCUACAGCCAAUCAGAACAUCACCUACUGGAUGAUGCCGAUAAAUUUACGCUGCAUCUUUGUGCUGAGUCAGUAUCAGCUGCAGCUGGAGAUGUCAGAGUUUACACAGAUGUACAUAAUCUAUAUAUAUAUAUAUGUUCUCUGUGGGGGAGAAAGCUUCACAUGCAGAAAAAAAACUGCUUUAUAAUACACUGACAGAAUAAAGGAAUGACAAGAAAAAGCUAAAAAUGCACUGAAGGAAAGCGGGAAGCACAAAUGCAGCUUUACACCAAACUGAAGGAACAGAGAGAACUACAAAAACGGCCUUGUAACACACUGGAGGUAAGAAGGACCCACAAAACAAUCGACUUUAGAACACACUGAUAGGAAUACAGAACCACUAAACAGCUAAAAAUACAAUGAAGGAAUAAAGAACCACUAAGAGUAGCUUUAUAAUAAACUGAAGGAGCCUCCAAAAUCAGAACUUGGGUUCUUUAAAGUUUCUCCUUCUUCACCUUGUAGACAUCCUCCACACAUCGAGUCAGUUCUGAUUCUUCUACAGCAACUUGAGAAUCCUCCUGGUCUGGAAACACAGAAAAAGACCUUAAAUCAUCCAUCUGCUGUUACUGUGACAAGAUGAUGACAGCUACAAACCCAGAAAGUACAUCUUCAAACAGACUUUUAGACGCUGACCUGAGGACAGAUGUUCCUGAAGUAGGCAUCUGCAGAUGUGGACUGCUGAGGACAGGCGACCAGGAUCCGAGCCACAGCGUCACAUUUCCUCCAGUCAGAGUCGCCCCCUGCAGGACAGAAGCAGCGCUGCAGAGCUGAGCCUCACCUGUUCCUCCCUCCAGAACAGCUCUGACGACAGCCUGGACGCCGUUGGGCUGCAUCAGACGCUCAGACAGCAGCUGACCACACAGACGCCUCAACCAGGCUGGAGCUGAUCCCAGACCUGCCCUGCUGCUGCUGGACCCACCGGAGGUCACGGCUGCAGCAGACUGCAGAACAGCAGAGGUAAAGAGAGACGGAACAUUUAAACUGGAGGAUCCGAGUGAAACCUGCUUCAUGAGACACUUUUUCCUAGAACGGGAUGAAGAUACACAGGAGUUUACUGAGUUUAAAGCAGAGAAAGGUCAGUCACAGCUGGAAAUAAGAAGUAUUUAUGACCAGACAGGGAAACGAGGACAACGGGCUCUUCUGAAGAAUCACAAUAUUCUUUGGUUAUUUUCAUGAAACAUUAGUCCACUGAGUCUGCACAUAAUGUCCUCCAAAAUAACUGGAAACAUGUCCCCAGAAAAUGUCUCAAAUGGCUUGAAACUUGUCCAAAAUUACUUGGAAAUAUGUUUAAAAAUCACACAAAAAAAUAUCCAAAAUAACUUGAAACGUGUCUCAAAUUAAUAAGCAAUGUAAAAAAUGUCUCCAAAGAUGUAGAAAAUGAUUCAAAAUGUGUCCAGAAUUAUUUAAAAUAUGUCCAAAAUGACCAAAAAACUCUCCAAAUAAGUUUAACCAUGUCCUAAAUUACUCAAAACACAUGAAAAUUCAUAUUUCUUACAUUUGAAAGAGUUAUUUUUUUUAAUUAAUUGUGUAUUUCUAAAAAAGAAUAACAUAAAACACACUGUAUGUUUCAUUUUUACAAAUAAAGAAAAUGGUUUAAUUUAUUCCAGCAUUUUUACCAUUAACAAGCUUUAUUCCCUUUUUCUAAUGUUAUUAUAAACAUAUAUUAUCUGGUAGAUGAUACAUUUUAAGGCUUUCUAUAAAGAAUGCAAAAUUGAACAUGUAGCAGCAAAAAUAAAAAUACUGUGACGCUUUGCAGGAAGUUUUUAGCAGCUAUAGGUUGGUUUGAAACAAAGACGUUAAUGAUUAAUUGAUUAAUUGCCACAUGACACAUGAGCACCAAAGGCAGAAGAUGAAGGACUUGCCUGUCAGAAAAAAAAACUGAGUUUAGUAAUUUUAUUAUUGAAGUGAGUUCAUCUCAAACUGAACUGAUUCCUGAAACAUUAAACCUGCAUUAACUUCAUAUUUAGAUAUUUAUCAGAAUAAAACCGGGCGGUGUUCUCCACCUGCUUGGGUCCUCCCUGGAGGAUCAGCAGCUCCUUGACGACGAUCGGCUGGUAGACUUUAGCCAGCAGCUUCCUGAGGGCCUCUUUACACGAUCGGCACUCUUCAACUGUGAGCGGCUGCAGAGGAAAAGAAGCAAGAAAAUAACAACAGACAUCAAAACUAGAAAAGCACUCAGAGAGUGCAGACCUCCACCAAGGAUAGAGAGGAAAACUGGAAACCCAUGCAGUAAAGGAUCAUGAGCUGGAAUCAAACCUGCAUCUCUGACACAGUUCUGUUUACGAAUCACCUUCUUGACCAGUUGAGCUAUCUGGACACCUUGUUCCAAUUUGUUGGACGACAUACUAACCUAUGAUGUUUUUGUCCUAUUUUGGACCACAUACUAAAAAAUUCAAAGUGAUCCAGAAUCCAGGAUCCUUUCCGGAUUGCCACCAAAAUGAAAUCAGCUCUUCCUCUUACCAUAGUCUACAUCCCCUCAGAAUUUCGUCUGAAUCUGCCCCGGCGUUUUUCAGUUAUCUUGCUGACAGACAGACAGACACACAAACGCCGGGUGUCACAUAACCUCCUUGGUGGAGGUAAAUAUCUGCUAACACAUCGCGUGGUCUUUACAGGAGAUAUUCUGAUUUCUAAUUUAAAGGAAAAGCAGCACUUCUUUUAAAUCACUUCUUAAAACCCACUUUUAUAGAUUUGCUUUUAUGUGAAGUUUAUUUUUAGUUUUAGUGUUUUAUUCUGUGUUUAUUUUAGAGGUUUUAUUUUAAUUUUAACUGCCAGGUUCUCUGAUGUGAUGUUGUCUCUCUGAUUCUUUAAUUUGCUAAUUUUUUGACUUUUAAGUUUAACAUUCAGUUUUGUUCUUUAAUUUUCAAACUACUUCAUUCUCUUGUUUGAUAUGCGUGCCAAUCUGGCUAAUUAUUCAUUUAAUUUAUGCUCAUUUUUACUCUUUAUUUUAAUUGACUGCUCUGACUUGUCUCCUACAGACAGACAAAAGUUUUAGGACACUUUCUCAUUCAAAUAAAGUAGAACCUGUCCUACAGCUUUUGACAGGGGGUGUAUCUACCACAUUUGGUACACAUAUGCAGCACAUCAGGCUGAACAAAAAGUCAGUGACAGCCACAUUCCAAACCCAACAGGAAGUGAGCUGUUUUGCGUUGAAUGUCAGAUUUGGCCCAUUUUUCAUUUAUUCUAGAGCGAACUCCUCCUAGGGGGAAACUCCAAUUCACCUCAAAUUGGGCCAGUACAUACAGGAGGCCUUAAUGAUCCAAAGUUAUUAAAAUCUUUUUCCAAAGUCAAAGGGUGUGUCUGUGGCAGCCUCUGGAAUUUUGAUCCUUCGCCAUGAAAUUUCAAAUGCUGUGUAAAUGCCCUGAACAUGCUCCAAUCUGCCUGAAACUUUACAUGUAUGACCAGAGUCCUGCCCUGAUCACAUCCAUAUGAUAAAAUACACCCCCUGUCAAAAAUUGAAGGACAGGUCCUACUUUAUUUGAACGAGACAGUGUCCUAAAACUUUGGACAGGGGGUGUAGAUAGAUAGAGAGAUAGAGACUUUAUUAAUCAUGAGGGAAAUUCAAGUGUUCAGCAGCUGACAAACAACAAUAUAAAAUAACAAAAAAGCAGGUUAGUAACAUUAAAGGUUAGUAUACUCUGAUCUUGCUUCACAAUACUAUACUACAAAAACGCUUCUAAUUAUAAAAUCCAUAGAAUACUAACUGUAAUUAAAAUCCAAUAUACAGUAUUCACACGGUGAUUUAAAGUGAACUGGAGUGAUUUAAAGUGAUUUUGACAGGCAGUAGCUUGGUUGUCUGUUUGCAUGUUUUAACUGUCAAAAGCACCUUGUGAACAGGUGGUAUAUAAAUAAAGUUCUUAUUAUUA